This 338-nucleotide unclassified non-coding RNA is filed under the name Hevea brasiliensis (rubber tree). Lineage: Eukaryota; Viridiplantae; Streptophyta; Magnoliopsida; Malpighiales; Euphorbiaceae. The record is from RNAcentral.
ACUUCUUCUGGUGUGCAUGCAUAAUCAACCCUUCACCACAUCUGCUUAAUGACCACAUUUUCCGGAAGCACCAACCACCAACAGCAGUGACGAGGCUCUGCAGUCUGCAACUCAGAUUGCAUAUCCUGAUUUGCCUGAUGCCUCUGCCCUUCAAAAUGAAUGACUUCUAUUCUCACACAUCAUGGUUGAAGCAUCUCAAUUACAUACUACCAUCGAUUCCAGUAACCUCCAAUAAGCCUUUUGCUUGCUUCUUUCACGCAAUUUCUUUUGAAAUAAAUUUACAUCAUUCUUCAUAUUGGAACUCACUCUCUCUCUCUCUUAUCUUUCCUUUUUUUUUU